ACACCCGUUCCCAUGCCGAACACGGAAGUUAAGCUCUUCAGCGCCGAUGGUAGUUGGGGGACUCCCCCUGUGAGAGUAGGACGUUGCCAGGU
Molecule: ribosomal RNA, 92 nt
Filed under: Metabacillus niabensis
Lineage: Bacteria; Bacillati; Bacillota; Bacilli; Caryophanales; Bacillaceae
Source: RNAcentral